Pelobates cultripes (western spadefoot toad) is the source of this 536-nucleotide non-coding RNA. NCBI's taxonomy places the organism in Eukaryota, Metazoa, Chordata, Amphibia, Anura, Pelobatidae. The record is from the annotation of a GenBank genome assembly.
AAAAGUUAUAAUAACUCAACUGCCAGACCUUGAAAACAAAUCUUAUCUGAGCUCAACGUAAUGUUUUAAUCCCCGGCAUUACAUGGGUGCACAGAGUCCAUCCAAACAUAGACUAAUUUAAGAUUGUGAGUCCCUCAGGCCACCUUAUCUCAGAUACUGUACCAAUCCUGCUGAGGCAAUUUAGGUGACUGAUGUCUUGGCAGUUGGAUGGUGUCUCAUACCUUUAUUCCUAAGCUAUCCAGUUAUCUGGCUGGGCCAGCUCCAAGUACCAAGCCUGCCACCUUUAAAAGUCACAAUUUUAAGGAGAUAUAUCGUUAAUGGGUUUCCAUUCCCUUCUACAGCGUAAGGUUGUUAGGAACACAUUCUGGAAGAUUAGGAGCUCUGUGUCUUGGUAGUUUAUAGGGCCCUUAUUGCUCCAUUUCAUAUAGCUUCUUUCAUUUGAAAAUGGUGGAAUCGAACUUUGAUAUCUCCUGGGGCAGCAUUGUCUGUUCUGAGGGGACCUAUAUUAGGUGGCAAACAUGUCUUCCUAAAGCCCU